Canis lupus familiaris (dog) is the source of this 105-nucleotide non-coding RNA. The record is from Rfam. NCBI's taxonomy places the organism in Eukaryota, Metazoa, Chordata, Mammalia, Carnivora, Canidae.
AGGAGCAACAGCCCCAGUGGCGGGGCCAGCUCUGGAAACCUGGAUUCAGCUCCGGCAGGAACUCCGGAGGUCUCCGUCUGCAGGGCCUGGAGGCUCCGGGGCGGG